GGCUGGAAUUCCAUUUGGCGAUUGAGCUGCUUUAGGAAUCCAGCUGGAACCGGUCUGAAGCAGCGCAGGGGCUCCGUCUGGGGUUUCGAGCCUCUGUUGCUAGAGCAAGGCGACCCUGGGCGCCUCCUCGCUUGGGUUUCCUUACUGCACUUUAUCGGCUCGUGUAAAACUAGACCCUGUCAUUAUCGCACACAAGACUGUAUUCUUUAUUCCUUCGUUUAACCAAAUCUAGUCGGACGGCCAAUAUGACCAGCGCUGGGCUGGGGGCCAAGGAGCCUGAACAAGGACCAGCUGCACAAUUGGUGCGGCCCAGUGCAAAAUGAAAAUGCAGAGGUUCUUGCUCAGAAAUUAUUAAGUACUGCAAGAUAGACCGCAGUGAGCCGAGUGCCUGGUCCAUCGAAGAAUGGUGCCUUGUGGGACUGCUCAAGUUAGAGCCCCUAAGAACAACCAAAAAACUGUCAGCUCAGAGGGAGAACGACAGCUAGCCACCACUACCGAGGUUCAUUCAUGGGUUCAUUGAAUAUUUAUGGAGUUCCUCCUGUGUGCCAGGUUGGCAGAAAUUAGGAAGAUUUGGUGAACUUCUAAUUGUUUGAAAACGAUUACAUCAAGUCUUUAUUAGGCUACAUAUUUGCCAGUUAUUUCAGUAACUUCUCCAAUGCCACAGUUUCCAAAUAUCAUCUUAGAAACUUUAAAUGUGUUCAUGUAUUCCAGUUUGUCCACGGCAAGUCUGAUGUCAAAAUCCUGCAGUACUGUGAGUGUGAUUUGUCCAUCACAAAACAAACGGAAGUGCUUGCAUUUGUGGAUUUAAUAUGAGUUUCAAAACCCUCGAACUACUAAAACAAUCCAAAACAAUCCGUAAUGUAACUGAGUGUCAAAAACUCAAACCCAUCUCUGGCACAGCUGAUAUACUUUUCUAGAGAGUGGGCUUACCCAACCAUCUGGUAACCACAUCUCAGGAAACUUAUUUUUCUCAACAUGUUACAGGGAAAAUUAUAUCAUUGUGAUAUUCACAAUUUGAGGAUUUACAAAGGUUAAGAGAUACCCUUCCAACCCAUUUCACAUACAUUCUGACUCUAGGAAAGAUACACAUACCCCCCUUUUUUUAAACAUCCUCAUAUUCUAAGACUUGUAUGGGAUAUUAAUCGUUGGGGUCAAAAGAUUCCUGGCUUUGACAGUAAUGGAUGUAAAAUAGUAUUUUAAAAGAGAACAUUUUGAUGGCCCGUAAUUAAGCUGAAUAACUUAGUAGAGUCUAAAGUCCUGUUGAAAGAGAAGAAUGGUCAGGUUAUAUGAAUCUAAGAUCUAUAAUUAGAUAAUAUAUUAAAUAUAUAUCUAGUAUAUUUGGGAAAUAUUGAAGUAAAUUUUGACAAAAAGCAGCUUAUAUCAAAAUCUAAAAUGUAUGCUUUGAAAUCAUCUCAUAAUUUAUGAAAAUGAUUAUCAUGUAUGGUGAUCUCUUCACCUUACAGAAAGGUCAACAUAUGUAGAAAAGCCAAAAAGAGGAAGGUUAAAUGAAGAUAGAGGACAAAGAGAAAUUAUAAGGAUUUUUUACUUCUAUUAUCCCUCUAAAAUAUUACUAAAUAUUUGCAUAAAGAUUAUAAGAAGGAAUAGUAGAGUGGAUAGAAAUGGUUUGAAAAUCAUAAGCUAAAUACCAUGUUUCUGCUGUUGGUAACCAUGUCAUAAUGAAGAAAUUUUCACUUUUUCUCUCUGCCUUUCUGAUACUCUUUUUUAUUCUGUUGCACUGGCAUUAGUGAGUAAAUAAGUAAUUAAAGUAGUCUAAUUUUUUUUUUCUGCUUGGUAUAUGCAGUACAAGGAAAGUUAAAGUAUAAGGAAAAUGAAAGAAAGAAUAAAUUCAAAUGAUAUUAAAAUAUCUGAAGCAUUAAAAAAAUACUGUUUUAUCUCCACCCUAAAGUGAGCACAAGAAUGAACAUGUCAGGAAGAUAAAGAAGAUCUCUGUUGUCUGUUUCACUUUAACAAUUUGGUGCAAUGACAAUGUUUCCAUAUCAGCUAAGAUCUUAUAGGAAAAGAGAACCAAUUAAUUUCUUCUCCAGAUGUCUUCCUGUUUAUUUCCACUUCUAAAGGAAAUUUUCCACUGACUCUGAUGUCUUCAGCAUCAGAGGCAUUUUUAGGAGUUAAAAAACCCAACCAACUUUAAACUUUUGCUUUCCCAUUGUUUUUAUUCUUCCUUUUAUGCUAGAGCUAUUCUUUGAUUUUUUUUCUUCUCUCUACCUUUUCUGUAUUCCUCUCUCACAUUAAUUUUUCUUUUCCAUUUCCCGAAUCAUUGCUUAUUUUAGAAGGAUACUGAAUUUCUUCUAUAGUCACUAUAAUGAAUGAGCCUCUCUCAUUCAUAUGAAUGAGCUAACUUUACUAAGUUAUAGGGAAAGAACAAAACUCUGAACAACUUAUAUGCUAAUGAAAUUAGAGUCUAAAAGAGUUAAUUAAACUUUCAUAUAACAAAUUGUCAGGCAUUAGCUCAGAUUUGACCAUACCUAUGUGUAUGUAUGUAUGUAUGUAUGAAUCUACCUAUCUAUAUCUAAAUAAUUGCUUUUAUUACUAUGAGAGGUACUAUAGCAAAAUAAUGUGACUUUAAAAAAUGUAUAAUCACAUGUGUAUAUCCAAAUGAAUAUUGUUCUUCAAAGUAGCAUUUAGUGAAGAUAGACCCAUUAUUCCAAAUAUGUUGUCAUUGUUCAAAAAAUUUUCAGAAAUCAUUUUGGAAUUGUAAAUCCUAUUCCCUAGUUACAAACUGGAUGUUUAUGUUCUCCCCCAAAUGUGUAUGUUGAAGUCCUAAUAUGAUAGAAUUUGGAGAUGGGCUUUGGGGGGUAAUUAGGAUUAAAUAAAUUUAUGGGGGCAGGGCUCUCGUCUAAUGGGAUUAGUGCUCUUAUGGGAAGAGGCAUUAGGGAGCUUGCUCUCUCCCUGCCUGUGCUCCCAGGAAGAGGUCCUGUGAGCCCUGGAGGCAAUGACAGCAACCUACAACCAAGAGCAGAGACCUCAGAAUAAGCCUAUUGUGUUAACCCUUUGAUCUUCAACUUCUCAGCCUCUAGAACCGGGAGAAAUAAAUUUAUAUUGUUGAA
This is a long non-coding RNA of Mustela lutreola (European mink), 3065 nucleotides long. RefSeq lists it as uncharacterized. The record is from RefSeq and is a predicted model, not a curated record. NCBI's taxonomy places the organism in Eukaryota, Metazoa, Chordata, Mammalia, Carnivora, Mustelidae. The transcript is spliced from 3 exons.